Molecule: ribosomal RNA, 119 nt
Organism: Bos grunniens (domestic yak)
Lineage: Eukaryota; Metazoa; Chordata; Mammalia; Artiodactyla; Bovidae
Source: Ensembl
GGCUCUGGCCCUAUCAGCCUGAAGGCGCCCGAUCUCGUCUGAUCUCGGAAGCUAAGCAGGGUCGGGCCUGGUUAGUAUCUUGGAUGGGAGACCACCUGGGAAUCCUGGUGCUCGAGGCU